CCUACGGGAGGCAGCAGUAGGGAAUCUUCCACAAUGGACGCAAGUCUGAUGGAGCAACGCCGCGUGAGUGAUGAAGGGCUUCGGCUUGUAAAGCUCUGUUGGUAGUGAAGAAAACUGGAGGAAGUAACUGGCCUUUAUUUUACGUUAAUUACUUAGAAAGUCACGGCUAACUACGUGCCAGGAGCCGGGGUAAUACGUAGUUGGCAAGCGAUGUCCGGAUUUGUUGGGCGUAAAGGGAGUGCAGGCGGUUCGUUAAGUCUGAUGUGAAAGCCUUCGGCCCAACCGGAGAAUUGCAUCAGAAACUGUUGAACUUGAGUGCAGAAGAGGAGAGUGGAACUCCAUGUGUAGCGGUGGAAUGCGUAGAUAUAUGGAAGAACACCAGUGGCGAAGGCGGCUCUCUGGACUGCAACUGACGCUGAGGCUCGAAAGCAUGGGUAGCGAACAGGAUUAGAUACCCUUGUAGUC
RNAcentral lists this ribosomal RNA (465 nucleotides) under uncultured bacterium. RNAcentral describes it as "partial 16S ribosomal RNA". It matches the Rfam family "Bacterial small subunit ribosomal RNA", at positions 338 to 795 of the family's 1533-position model. The record is from RNAcentral.